Dipodomys ordii (Ord's kangaroo rat) is the source of this 68-nucleotide non-coding RNA. Lineage: Eukaryota; Metazoa; Chordata; Mammalia; Rodentia; Heteromyidae. The record is from Rfam.
GGCACUGUGGCUCAAGUGGUAGAGCAUUAGCCUUGAGCUAAAGAGCUGAGGAACAGCUCCCAGUCCCA